CAAAAUGACUCUCGGCAACGGAUAUCUCGGCUCUCGCAUCGAUGAAGAACGUAGCGAAAUGCGAUACUUGGUGUGAAUUGCAGAAUCCCGUGAACCAUCGAGUCUUUGAACGCAAGUUGCGCCCGAAGCCAUUAGGUUGAGGGCACGUCUGCCUGGGUGUCAAA
Molecule: ribosomal RNA, 164 nt
Filed under: Cheniella clemensiorum
Lineage: Eukaryota; Viridiplantae; Streptophyta; Magnoliopsida; Fabales; Fabaceae
Also listed under: 6 other names
Description: Bauhinia clemensiorum 5.8S ribosomal RNA
Rfam family: 5.8S ribosomal RNA
About the family: 5.8S ribosomal RNA (5.8S rRNA) is a component of the large subunit of the eukaryotic ribosome. It is transcribed by RNA polymerase I as part of the 45S precursor that also contains 18S and 28S rRNA.
Source: RNAcentral